This is a long non-coding RNA of Pseudophryne corroboree (corroboree frog), 4827 nucleotides long. RefSeq lists it as uncharacterized. Lineage: Eukaryota; Metazoa; Chordata; Amphibia; Anura; Myobatrachidae. The transcript is spliced from 3 exons. The record is from RefSeq and is a predicted model, not a curated record.
CAGAGGGCGUCUUUUAACACAAGACAACUCCUGUAACCUACAAAGACGCAGGCGCGGCGCCUUUACCGUAAAUCGAUGAAUCAGGCCCACUGUACAAUAUACAUGUUCCAAAAUAGUGUACUGAUAGAUGGCUGCGUCUGAACCAGUGGUUAUAUCAUUGCUACUUAAAGGGGAAAUUCUACUCUUUUAUAAAUUAGUAAAACUAAUUAUUUACUUUGUGCCUCACAAUUUAGCCGCUUUUAUCAUUUGGACUGGACCAAUUUUUCACGAUUUGCGAAUUUUUGCAUAUAUUAUAUUUUUGCGGGAGUGUCUUUUAUUCCUCAGUUUCAAGGGAAUCCCAUUUGUAAAACGCAAUGGAAUACGCUGCGCUAUACAUGUAAAAUAUGUAUACUAUAUGUAAUUGUUGCUUCUGUCUACAACCAUAAUCUCCUAUAUUUUCUAAUGUGAUAUAGGGACCUCUGCUGUGCUAUACCCCCCCCCCCCCAAUAAAAUGGAUAUCCUUAAAAUCUGGACCGCUGGUGUGCCUUGAGAUUUGCGUUUGGGAACCACUGACGUAAUCCAUACCUCCCACCACUGGAUUACGCAACCAAUCUUCACCAACAACGGAUAGAGUUAAAUGUUUAUGAAAACGUCACAGGGGGAUAAGUCACGUGACCUGGGGCCUGAUCCGGAGUUGGUGAUAACGUAAAGCUGGUACACACUGGCCGAUAUAUGGCUGUUCAAUCAAAUGGCGGAUAUGUUGUGAGCCCGACAGCGGCAGAUGCAUAAUAGGUUAUGUUCUUGCCUUAUUGGAAUUACAGAUACACCCGUGAGAUCCAGUAUUUCCCUUCUUGUCGGUAGCUGGAACAUUUCUGCACCCUGCAACAUUAGAUGUGGUCUCCGAGUCCCUGGGAAACUGUCUCCUGACACGUGCAAAAUGCAAUAUGAAGAUAACCAGGGUUCUGUUUAAUAUGUCUAGGAUUCAGAACCAAGGCGCCAUGCCAACAGAAACAUGGCUGUGAUCAUCAUUUAUGAAGCUAUGACUUUAAUAACAGAGUUAUUGUCAUAUUUCGGUUGCAGUACUUUCAUAGUAUUGUUAUAGAUUGAUCUUCAACAAAUCUUCAAUACAGAACAAUGCCGCCUGAAGGCAAAGCUAUCACACAAAAUGGCCGCCAAAAGACUAACGCUGCUUCUCACCUGUAACAUGGCACCUAGGAGCUGAUUGGCUGUUACUUUAUCUCUUGCCAAGGUUAAGUAUGUAGACAGCGUUGACAGUUAGGAGCUGAUUGGCUGUUACUUUAUCUCUCUCCACAGCUUAGUUAAUAGACCGGGAUCCUGACCGAAGGUCUGCAGGUACUCCACAGAGGUAAGCCGCGUCGGGAUGCCGCUUUCGGUAUUCUGACUGCCGGGAACCCAAUAUCAUCCCUAUUCAAAGUGUAGUCAGGAACAGAAAUAGAACAAUAAAAACGGUAAGAAAAGAUUUAUAUUUCUGUUCCUGAUGACGGUUUGAAUAAACCGAAACGUAGAAGCUGCGUACACGGUAGCAUUUGCUUUUUAUGGUCCGUGAGUGACGCCAACCAUGGAAAAAACAGACAUCCAACUGACUUUUCAAACAAUUGAAUACCCCCCAUAGAGAGAUUGAGAAAGAGAGAGAUCAUAUAUAGAUCAUAUACAUGUAGAUGGCUCACAGCCCACAGGAAACAAUUAGCCUUUGUUUCCUAGUGAUACAUUUCAUGUCAUGUAAUUCUCUGUAACUAUGUAGAGCAUAAUGUAAUUACGGCUCUAUAAUAUAUAUAUAAUACAGGACCGCUGGGAUUCUGCUGGAUGGAAUAUACUGAGCUGGUUUAUACUGUAACAACACGAGGCUUGCGUGCAGCAUUCAGUGUGAUACGUACGUUGUAUUCGUGUAUAUAAUUGUUAUAUGCUUUUCAUUCAGGUUUAUAAAUUAUUAGGGAUUUGCUGUUCUACCGAUGUAUGAAAUAACAUGCGCCCAAGUGUUUCCUUAAGACGAUUGUGGCCAGUGUAGCGCUUAAUAUAACCUUUUAUCUUGCUGGAUUGUUAUAGGGGGGAUAAAGACCUUCCCCGGCCCCCAUACCCCAAAUAUGCCUAUUACACCUGAAUGGUGUAUACAGCUUAGAUCUUACAUACAAUUGGUGGUGGCAGGAUCUGCCAGAAUAUCUAUACCGGCAUUAUCUGUAUGCCCAGGCAAUAUUUUAUUGGCACCAGAGUGAUGUGGGAUGAAUAUUAAUGAUCUAGGUCAGGCUUGUCUAGGGGUCCAGGUGGGCUUGUGACUGACGGACGAUGGUUUUGCCAUCGAUGGCAGAGAUUCAAUAGUUCUCCGCUAUCGUUGACAGAGAUGGGCCAGAGCUUUUUUCCCAACCCGCAGCGCUUAGUCAAACCGCACCAUCACUAUUACAGGAUUAGCCAGCUGCCAUAUUGUGACCCUCAGCAGCGAUGUCCAUUGGUAGAUUAAUCUAUCGAUGGUUUACGGUUACUGAUGAAAAACUUCAAUGGCACAAUCCAUAUAGACCAUCAAUGGUAGACCUGCCAAUUGCCAUCCCUACUGCAAAGGCACGGUCCAGUCAAUUAGCAAUGCCACCCGCCUCAUCACACGCAUAGCCGUCUCACACUGCAUUACAUCCGGCCCAAUGUAUUUUUAGUACGUGUUUUAAUGAGCGGGCAUGGCCACACCCUCAUGUUUGGCCACACCCACAUCUAGCACCCAAGCCCACGACAUGUCUUGGCGGCACUACUUGGCACAGGCCACUAGCAAAAUUGUGCUGUCUGCAUAUUCACAGGUAUGAAGCCAAGCAUUCAAGUCUACAUAUGUUAUUAAAUAUGCAUUGGCACACUUUGUCCAACUUUAUUUUUAUUUGUUCUAACAAUCUGUGAGUUGAUGAAUUGCACUAUUUUGUUUAACAAACGGAUUUAUUUAUUUCAUAUUGUUAUUGUAAACUUGAUGUUUUUGGUAUAUUUUACACAAAUGUUUCCCCCUUCCAGACUGGCAAUUUAGGCCACGUCCCAAUCGGACAGGCCACGCCCAGAUCCACGAAGAGUCUUCCCAUUUCCAAGCAUGGGCGUUAAGUUUCCCGGUGCAGGCGAGAUCUAGCGGCUCCUCCUCCUGCAUUUGCAUGUGGACGAUACAGAAUUGGAAGUGGCUGUGCAAUUCCACCCAAACUUGAAUCCGGCCCAUUGUAGGGUAAAUGACCAUAGAGGACUAUCAGGGUCAAAUCGUAUCCAAACGCGAGACUUAAAUCAGUAUCCAACCAAACCUGAGGCAGGUCUGCAGAUCACCCAGCCGCAGUGAGGACUAAACUGCUGCAGCCUCGUCUUGCACUCGCCCCAGCGACGUCCAAAUAUGCACAUGAUAUGUUAAUGCAGCAACAGAAAUCGUGGAAUCUGCGGGGGGAGUGAGGCUCAGAAAAGACUUGGAGGGCCGCCUAUGGACAGCCGUCGUGUGCACAAUGAAUAUAUCACCCUGUACUUAUGGCAGUUCUCAGAGUGUGCUGAGAUGUUCCUGCGUUGGCAGGUUACAUUAGAUGGAAUGAUGAACGCCCUAAUUCCCAUGAUUUGGUCUGAACGUUACAUCUCCGACUUGUGUGAAACAUCCUUUGUGAUUUAGCUCCCAGGGAUGGAAGUUCUCUCGUAUUCUGUAAGCGUGCCAAUAACUUUCUCCAACGCAAAGCCAAGAACUAAUGUUUCUAAAUUAUAUCCCACAGGCUUUUAUUUCACCCCGUACACAGGCGGAAUGUACAGGCAUCUGGGAGGUAGGAUGGUUCAAUGUUUGGGGACAAUUAUAAACACUGCAUUACCCAGGUACCCCCAUAAGGCUCUCUGUGCCUAGACCAGGGGCAAAUGCAGGAUUUCUAGAGGGGGGUUUCCAAAUGCAAUCCACAAUCUCCCGCUCUGCGGAACACUGGAGCAAGUGCGGAAGUCUGGGGGAGAAGUAGAAGAACCUUGGGGUGAUUCCGAGUUGUUCGCUCGCUAGCUGCUUUUAGCAGCAUUGCACACGCAAAGCCGCCGCCCUCUGGGAGUGUAUCUUAGCUUAGCAGAAGUGCGACCGAAAGAUUAGCAGAAUUGCGAAUAGAAAUUUUUUAGCAGUUUCUGAGUAGCUCCAGACUUACUCAGCCAUUGCGACCAGCUCAGUCCUUUUCGUUCCUGGUUUGACGUCACAAACACACCCAGCGUUCGCCCAGACACUCCCCUGUUUCUCCAGCCACUCCUGCGUUUUGCAACUCGAACGCCUGCGUUUUUCCGCACACUCCCAUAAGACGGGCAGUUUCCGCCCAGAAACACCCACUUCCUGUCAAUCACACACCGAUCAGCACAGCGAUGAAAAAGCUUCGUUAUGCCGUGAGUAAAAUACCUAACUUGUGUAAAAUAACUAAGCGCAUGCACUCUGCGAACCUUGCGCAUGCGCAGUAAGCGACUAAUCGCAGUAUAGCGAAAAUCGGCAACAAGCGAACAACUCGGAAUGACCCCCCUAGUACCGAUGCUAGACAUAUAUGUAAACAUUGGUCUUUUUAUACACUGGAUACUGUAUGGAAUAUAGUAUAAUAUUUAAAACUAUAGAUGGUUUAUAGAUGUAUAUGCUGUAUCAAACAUAUUUAACUAAUAUAAAUAAAAUACGUGGUCAGGAAAAGGUUAAACAUCUCAUAAAAAAUACAAAAACACACUAAAACCAGUACUUUACUUUCUAAGCACACAUUCUCCCACCUCAUGGUAAGGCUCCUGUCUCUUCUUUCUGGCAGGUACUCUCUAGUCCAGUGCACUGAUUAAGGACUCGGUUCCACACACAGAGCAAACUUGGUAGAAGGUGCUAACACUGGGCAUGCGCAGCAGCUCUAG